AUCUUGGCAAUGCUAACAUGUCUUUCACAGUGAGGAUUCGUCCGAGAUUGCGUUUUUGCUAGUUGAAAACUAUCAACUGACCGCUUCAGUUGGUCUUCGGAUCGGCUGGGAAUCUUUGGAACCCUACUUU
Non-coding RNA from Hortaea werneckii EXF-2000, 130 nucleotides. NCBI's taxonomy places the organism in Eukaryota, Fungi, Ascomycota, Dothideomycetes, Mycosphaerellales, Teratosphaeriaceae. The record is from Rfam.